This 25-nucleotide non-coding RNA is filed under the name Drosophila melanogaster (fruit fly). Lineage: Eukaryota; Metazoa; Arthropoda; Insecta; Diptera; Drosophilidae. RNAcentral also lists the same sequence under 3 other names. The record is from RNAcentral.
CCUCAAAUCAGGUAGGACUACCCGC